This 1138-nucleotide long non-coding RNA is filed under the name Homo sapiens (human). Its description in RNAcentral is "HSALNT0364471". The record is from RNAcentral. Lineage: Eukaryota; Metazoa; Chordata; Mammalia; Primates; Hominidae.
GUUUGUGAAGCACCUUCUAGCAGUUAUCUUAGAGAUGUAAGUUCAUUUACUUGUCCAGCACUAAAAGGCCAAAGGGGCUUGUUUUCUCACCCAAAAGACCUUCCUGAGGCAGCUGUUCGGAUACAUGCAGAGCACAGCGCCCUGCUCAGAAAGGAAGGUUCAGAGAACAAAUUGUCGUUUAAAACUAUUGGGACAAACCUACCUCUUCUAAAGCUUAAAAUGGUCUCCAGCGUACCAGGAUUUGUGAAGGCCUGAAGUUCGUAGAAUGAAAUCUAUGUGGAGAUGAUUUAAAAGAACGGUUUCACUGCUGUCUCCUCUCUGUCCCUUUUUAGAGACCAACACAUAUAAACCAAGUCUACACAAGAAACAAAGCUAAAAUCCUUUCGAAAUGAGUUCCUUUAAGUUCUUCAGUAACUAAAUCCUCCAGAAAGGAAAGCCGAGAGAAUCUAGUCCUAUACAAUAACACCCUCUAACAAAGAUCGCUAAAGGAAGAUUUUAGUAGAUGAAUAUCUUCAAUAAUACAUGGUCACAUACAUGUAUCUGACCAUAUGAUGGCUCUCUGCACCAAAUUCCUCCAAACUAUUAUAAUAUGUAUUGUCUGUAGUGCUAUUUAUUUGGCAGUUAAUCAUGUAUUACAUUGUGACAUUUCUUACAGUGAACCAUUAUGUAUGUGUUUAUGUUCUGCCCUCAACUACUCAAUGCCAGUACCUUAUUCUUAACACAGCAACCACCCUUUCUGGUCUGUCCUCACACCCUCAUUCCCAUCAUAGUUAUUCUCCUCUCUCAUGGAAAUGUUCAGUUUCUGGACAUCUCCUUUCUCUUCCAUUCUUCACCUGACCUUCCUUCCUUUCUUGGCCAGCCUGAAUAUUAUAAAGGGAAUUUUAUUUCAAACCCAGGAUCGCACUUAAGAGGAAAAGAAACAAAAGCCAGUUCUUUUUAUUGCACAUAGAACAAGGAGAAACUCCACCCCUUUUGUUGUCUGGUAUGUUUAAAACAAGAAAGAACUUUAGAAAAGUAGGAUAUGAGUGAAAAUUACAACCAAUGUUGAGAACUACUUUUUAAUUUUUUAUUACAAAAUUAGGAUGAUACUUCAUUAAACAUUGUACAUCAUUUCAAAACUGUUAUCUCAUAAUCAUGU